RNAcentral lists this long non-coding RNA (263 nucleotides) under Lathyrus oleraceus (garden pea). RNAcentral describes it as "Pisum sativum (pea) long non-coding RNA (PSAT_LNC008238)". The record is from RNAcentral. Lineage: Eukaryota; Viridiplantae; Streptophyta; Magnoliopsida; Fabales; Fabaceae.
UUCAAGUAUGUACCUUUCUUUUCAUUGUUAUUUCCCUUGAAAUUACAUAAAUAAAUAAAAAAAACAAAAAAACAAAAAAAUAUUUCAUUAUAAUAUAGAUUUAUUUUAAGUUAAGUCCCUAAUGUGAAAAAAAUUUCUAUUAUCUAUUCCCUCAAAAUUUUCAUGAGCCAUAACAAAAAUUCAACACACUCAGUAAGUAUAAAGGUUGCUCAUUUUAUCGAACUUGAGACAAACUAAGACAAAAACUAUUACCGCCCCAACAC